AUAUAUUUCUAUACAACAUCUACAUCAACAUCUCUCGAAAUCAGAACUUCUGAUUUGCUAGCAAAGGCAUGGCAUCUGCUUAUUGUGGAGUGAGAUGAGCUCAUUGCAUGUAGUUAACAUUAAAAAAUAAAUAAUACAUGCAUAUUAUUUUUAGGAAGAAGCAUUAAUUUCCUUCCCACUCAUUUUAAAGGUGGAAUAUUCUUGGCAUCCACAAACCUAACUCUUCCUGAUCCCCCAAGCCCCUGUGCAUGUUUACAGUAUUGUUUACAAUGUCUACACAUAAAUGCUUUUCAGUGGAGAAUAGGUUAGCUCUAACGCUUUUAGACUGAGGACCUCUUUAUGUAGCUGAAAGGCUCACUCUGUAAAUACAUAAUAUGCACAUUUAUUUGCUGUGGCAGCCAAAAUAUGAUAUUAUUGUUUGAAGUUGACUUUUUCACUUAGAUGGCUGCAGGUUUAGUCCAGAAUAAUCUAUGCCAAAUAGUUUUUUUCAGAAUCUAUCCCCCUCCUUCCUUUUUGAAACUCUUCUUCCAAAUGUAUAAUAUAGUAGCUACAAAUGUUGCUUGUUGACAAACUGGUAACCAUACAAAAGGCUACAAUAGGGUGAAAAUUAGGUUUCCCAUGGGUAGGUUAGAGACUUUGCGGUGUACUGAAUAGUAAGGGGCUCCCAAUAGUAUCUCCUUUUUCCUGAGGUGUGCGCUCGUUCACUACUCCCACAAAUAAAUGCACUGGAUCAGUGAAGGCAUGUGUUUUCCUUAAUAUUUUGAGAACCAGCUGUUUCCUAUUAAUUCCUAUUCAGUGAAAGCAAGUGAACAUGUGCAAACUUUGAGAGAUGAAGGAAAGGACAUUGCCUGAGACUCCUGUUAUCCCUUUUCAAGUGUAGCAUGUCAGUUUACUAAUCACGUAUGCAAAAAUGUUUCGUUUUUUACGCUGAAAGGUGAAUGCUAACUUUUGGCUUAUUUUCCUCCUUCCAUUUUCAUUUCUCAAUGUUUGUAAAUUAUAGAUAUUUAAUCUGCUUGCACUACAUUCUAGAUCACAGAGCUGUAUAUACAAUAUAUGUUUGAAUAUGUGUGUAUUUAUUUAUUUAACCAAUUAUGCCUUUGGUUGUCUUAUGCUUUCGUUUGAUUGUUUACGAUUGAUAUGGACUGUUAUUGACCUAUUAGUGCUAUUAUUAUAUUAUAAUUUGUAUUAUCUCAUUAUUAUCACCUAGUGGUAUUAUUGUCAUUAUCAGGGAUAGUAUGACUAUCUUUAUUGUUAUUUAUAUUGAUGUUGUAACUGUCAUUUUUAAUCACAUUACAAUUGCACAGCACAACACAAUGGAAAACAUCCUACAAUGGCCUUUGUGGUCAUUCAACUGGUCAAUUCCGAACUGUAUUGGUGAGAAAACUGCCCUAAAAAGCAUGUUUACAGUUAGUUAGUUAUACAAUGUAUAUGCUGCAAUGAUGGAUAACUUAAGUGGUUACGUUGAAGACGGCCAGUUUAUGUUAUAACUAAUAGAAACAUGCAUGCGAGCACACACACAUACUUGAAUGUUUUUCAAGUCACCAGCCACCAGUGAGCUCCAUCUUUCCUUCAUAUCUUCUUAGUAAUUUACUUCUAUCUCUCAGGUCUUUCUUUCUCGUACCAAUUCAUUCAUUCAUCAUGAACAAUGUUAUUCCAAACAAAUUCACUAUUGUCUCUUCUCUUUUCUAUGGUUUACAAUGAUAUAUUUCCUAUUUGAUCCUGUUUGUUAUAAGCUACUUCCUGUCUAAUAUAAUCUACAUCUUGUUUGAUAUGAUAUUUUCAAUUUGGAUGAGGAAUCCUGACCGCCUCCCAAAUGGCAUCCUAUACAGUGCGAUCCUUUGGUAGAAUCCUAUAUGGAGAAUAGGGUACCAUUUGAAAGGCAAAUACAGACUGCAGCACGAAUGGUUACAGACCAUUGGCCCACUUGGUUAAUUAGUGUUGUUCUUCCUAUUGUUGUUGGUUACUGAUCUAUACUAUAACCCUGAAUGGGACUUCUGUGCAGACUUGCCUGACUGUGCAUGCCUUAAUUAAUUGACUGCUUUAUAAACAUUCAGUAUAAGUAUGAAUGUACACUGCUAUGUUAAUCCAAGGUAUUGAAAACGCACUCUGUAUUGGUCUUGAUCCUGUGCUUAUUAAUGAUCAAGUUCGAAAGGAGCCUUGUGAAUAAACCCUAGUUGAGUAUGAACUCCGCAUCAUCUGGUGUUUUGCUGCUCCUCGCUGCUUGUCUUGUUUUUGCCCUUUGCCUGAAAUGCUCUCCCAUACUUUCUUCUCUACAUUGCUUGGGAUCAGGGAUCAGCGGGACCCACUCUCCUUUUCGUGUGCGUGUGCCUGUGAGCAAGUUUUCAUCAUUUUUAGUUAUGCGUCUCUAGGAUAUUGCAGUUGUCAAGGCAACGGCUGGUAGGGAGAAAGAGCAGACGGAAAGCAGGGAUAGUACAGUGAUGGAAGCAAGGUCGG
Esox lucius (northern pike) is the source of this 2454-nucleotide long non-coding RNA. The record is from Ensembl. NCBI's taxonomy places the organism in Eukaryota, Metazoa, Chordata, Actinopteri, Esociformes, Esocidae.